GGGUCAGUAGGUUGGUCGUGCCACCGGUACGUACUGGUCUCACUGAUUCCUCCUUCCUGAAGAACCGUAAUGCCAUUAAUUUGGUGUUGCGGGGAAACAGGACUGUUACUUUGAAAAAAUUAGAGUGUUUAAAGCAAGCUAACGCUUGAAUACGUUAGCAUGGAAUAAUGAAAUAGGACGAUCGACCCUAUUUUGUUGGUUUCUAGGAUUGACGUA
RNAcentral lists this ribosomal RNA (216 nucleotides) under Glomeromycotina sp. RNAcentral describes it as "partial small subunit ribosomal RNA". The stretch from base 40 to 216 matches the Rfam family "Eukaryotic small subunit ribosomal RNA", at positions 686 to 864 of the family's 1831-position model. The record is from RNAcentral. Lineage: Eukaryota; Fungi; Glomeromycota.